CAAGACCGGUGCCAGCCGCCGCGGUAAUACCGGCUGCUCGAGUGAUAGCCACUUUUACUGGGCUUAAAGCGCUCGUAGCUUGGUCGUUAAGUCUCUGGGGAAAUCUUUUGGCUCAACCAAAAGGCGUCUCAGGGAAACUGGCGAUCUUGGAACCGGGAGAGGUAAGACGUACUUCGGGGGUAGGAGUGAAAUCUUGUAAUACCCGAGGGACGACCGAUGGCGAAGGCAUCUUACCAGAACGGCUUCGACAGUGAGGGACGAA
This 262-nucleotide ribosomal RNA is filed under the name uncultured Methanocalculus sp. RNAcentral describes it as "partial 16S ribosomal RNA". It matches the Rfam family "Archaeal small subunit ribosomal RNA", at positions 447 to 708 of the family's 1478-position model. The record is from RNAcentral. Lineage: Archaea; Methanobacteriati; Methanobacteriota; Methanomicrobia; Methanomicrobiales; Methanocalculaceae.